UAUCGGAACGUGCCCUAGAGUGGGGGAUAACGUAGCGAAAGUUACGCUAAUACCGCAUACGAUCUAUGGAUGAAAGUGGGGGAUUCGCAAGAACCUCAUGCUCGUGGAGCGGCCGAUAUCUGAUUAGCUAGUUGGUAGGGUAAAAGCCUACCAAGGCAUCGAUCAGUAGCUGGUCUGAGAGGACGACCAGCCACACUGGAACUGAGACACGGUCCAG
This 217-nucleotide ribosomal RNA is filed under the name uncultured bacterium. Its description in RNAcentral is "partial 16S ribosomal RNA". It matches the Rfam family "Bacterial small subunit ribosomal RNA", at positions 116 to 334 of the family's 1533-position model. The record is from RNAcentral.